Molecule: ribosomal RNA, 487 nt
Filed under: uncultured bacterium
Lineage: Bacteria
Description: bacterial SSU rRNA
Rfam family: Bacterial small subunit ribosomal RNA
Source: RNAcentral
GACUAACGCUGGCGGCGUGCCUAAUACAUGCAAGUCGAACGGGAUUCUUUGAUCAGCUUGCUGAGAGAAGGAUCUAGUGGCGGACGGGUGAGUAACGCGUGGGAAUCUGCCUCUUACUGGGGGAUAACAGUGGGAAACUACUGCUAAUACCGCAUAAGAUCUUCGGAUGAAAGGUGCAACUGCACCGGUAAGAGAUGAGCCCGCGUCCCAUUAGCUAGUUGGUGAGGUAAAGGCUCACCAAGGCGACGAUGGGUAGCCGGCCUGAGAGGGUGAACGGCCACACUGGGACUGAGACACGGCCCAGACUCCUACGGGAGGCAGCAGUAGGGAAUCUUCCGCAAUGGGCGCAAGCCUGACGGAGCGACGCCGCGUGAGUGAUGAAGGCCUUCGGGUCGUAAAGCUCUGUUCUUGAGGACGAAUAAGCCAGGGAGUGGAAAGCCCUGGUGAUGACUGUACUCAAGGAGAAAGCUCCGGCUAACUACGUGCC